This 2764-nucleotide unclassified non-coding RNA is filed under the name Hevea brasiliensis (rubber tree). Lineage: Eukaryota; Viridiplantae; Streptophyta; Magnoliopsida; Malpighiales; Euphorbiaceae. The record is from RNAcentral.
CGAGGAGGCACGGCCACGUAAAAUAAAAGUUCGGUGGGAUUUUCUCGCGAAACAAACGGAUGGAGUAGAAAUUCACCGUGUUUUUGCCUCCAAAAACCUGACAUCAUUUGCCAAGAAAGCAGAGGAGAGUGACAAUGGGAGCAUCAUCUUCGAUAGUGCAGAAGGGUACGAGCGAACAACGAGAGGUGGAAAGUCUAGCUGCUUCCACAGGAGCUAUGCCGAUGCUUCAAAAUUCUUUCUCCAAGCUUGUCAAUCCUCAAACAAAUGCCAUUCCUCUUCAAUCCCUUCAGCAAGUCUUCUGUUUAAAUUAUAAAAACCCAGAUUGUGAGGCAUCCAACAUUCCUGAUUGCUUUCCGGGAUUGUUGGAUCAUUUGGGUGCAUCCAUAGUGGACCUAUUUUUCAUCACUGGGAGAGAAGGAGUCAGUUGGAUUGAGUUUUUGAGAGGUUAUUUGAAAUGUUGUGGGAGGAUGCCUGCCUCAAUGGCUCUCAACGCUUUGCUGAGAGUAUUUGCCACAACCUUUACAAAAGCCGGUCUUCCUUUGAAACUGGAGUUCGAAUCCAGCGAUGAUGAUUGUAAGAUAAGUGGGUCUUUUCUAGCCACUGAUGUUCUUAUGCUUCUCUGGAUGUGUUGGACUAUGUUGUGGGAUUCCAGUACUUCAAGAUGUACGAAAGGCAAAGAAAAUCUACGUCUCCCAGAUGUUAAUCACUUAAUACUAUCAGCAGUUGUUUCGUGUACUGAAGUUGACAGUGGUUUCAAUUUGUGGGAUUGUGGCAUCUCAGCCUUGGAAGUUGAGCUUCCCGUUGGGAAGUUUCUUACCUGGGACUUGACAACAGUACCAAGCCUCACAGAUUGCUUCACACAUUUUGUUAAUGUGAGACUUCAAAAUUCAGUUUCUUCGGAGGUUAAGUCAGAACUUUCAUCUUCAUCAUUAGGAAAAAUCCCUCCAAGAGAGGUAUGCAAUAUUCAUCUACUAACUCAUGGAAGAGCAUGGGCAAUUUCUCUUUCACUCAAGGGUACAAUAAGUGCAGAAAUUUUGAAACCGCACUUACCUAGCGACAGUGAUGAGACUUUAGAAAAUCUUCUAUACCGGUUUGUCAUCCUUCCCUUCUGGUAUUUACAUUACAUGACACACCUGUAAGUAUGUUUUGCUUCCCUCAUUUUCCAGGGUUUCACAUUUUAUCUCUAGUUAGUGAUUAGCUUACUACUGCAUUAAAUUUUACAGACAAAUGUUUAUUUCCCACUACUUUGUAGGUCUUCUUUUCAUGGGAGGGGCUUGAACAGAUUCUGGUCUAACAUUGAGGGUUAUCAUGGACCAUUGCUGUUUUUAGUUUCUGCUGCCGCUGGAGAUGUCCAUGAGGAUAGUACCAGUGUCAGAAAAUGGAUCAUAGGUGCACUGACACAGCAGGGUUUUGAAAAUAAGGAUAUGUUCUAUGGAAGCUCUGGAAGCCUAUAUGCCAUAAGUCCAAUCUUCCAUGUUUUUUCACCUUCUGGGAAAGAUAAGAAGUUUGUUUACAGCCACUUGCAUCCUACCAGCCGAGCUUAUGAGCCACAUCCCAAGCCGGUGGGAAUUGCAUUUGGAGGAACCAUUGGGAAUGAGAGAAUAUGUAUCGAUGAAGAUUUUGCUAGAGUUACUGUCCGCCAUCAUGCAGUUGACAAAACUUACCAACCUGGUUCCCUUUUCCCAUCUCAGGUGGUAGUGUAUAUACUAUGCUACAACAAAUAGCUAAGUUUUAACAUAGAUGAGCAUGGAUCCAAAAUUAUCAUCUGAUUUUAAUUAUCAAAUGCCAAUAUUUGAACAAAUUAAAUUGGUGUAAUUCAAAUACGUAAUGACGAUGCCAUUUAAUAUUUUAUGAGUAAUCCAACAUUUUUUUUCCUUUUUAAAUGUACUUAUCUUUGGUCUCCAUCUGCAGCAUUAGUGAGUUAAUUAUCAAUAAUUUUUUACUACAUUUAUUAAUCAUUAUAUCCCUUGGUUUAAUUUGUACUUGACAAGUAUAUAUGUGCGCCUUGGGGGGGAAGGUCUCACCAAAUGCUGUCCCUGAUAUUAUCUCUCGUUAUCAUCCCUGGAGAGAUAGUGUAUAUGAAAACUUAAGGUCCAGAUUACCACUUUCAAAGCUUCACUUGACUUCUAAACAUGAAUCUGUGCUGCAGGGUUUCCUCGCAGUUGAAGCUUUGAUCUCUGAAGUUGAAGUUUGGGGAUUGGGUGGGAGGACAGCAAAGGAAGUCCAAGCUUCAUUUAAGAAAAGAGAGGAACUUUUCAUUGAGCAUAGACGCAAGGUAAUCUUCCAAGUUCAGGUUAAGGCAAUUGUUGAUAUUUGCAAGCAAGUGGGAAGAAACAUAUUAUCUGGUCACUUUUUGGCAGGCUAACUUGAAAACUUUUGCAAGCUGGGAGGAUUCCCCUGAGAAAAUGAUGAUGGAUAUGAUGUCUGACCCCAAUGCAGUACGAAGGGAAGAUCGCUGAAUAAAAUUGUGCAAGAUGCCUUUUUUCGGAGAGUGUAAUAAUCAUGUACAAGAGUAAGUUAGAUUAGGUGGAGUGGAUAGUCCUGUGUUAGUGUGUUUCUUCAUCAUGUGGCUGUACAAAUUUCUAGAGAAGAGUUGUUAUCCAAUCAAAGCCUGGAAUGUACAAGUGUGACGCUGACCUCUGGGAUAUAUUCAAACCUUAAAAGCUCCUGAAAGUUGUAAUUAUAAAAUAAUCAACAUAAAAGUUAAAUGUACCAGUUCAUUUGUGUGUGAAAAUAAGAUUCUGCUGUUUUUGCUUGUGUUAAA